GUAGCGAAAGCGAGUCUGAAUAGGGCGUUUAGUAUUUGGUCGUAGACCCGAAACCAGGUGAUCUACCCUUGGUCAGGUUGAAGUUCAGGUAACACUGAAUGGAGGACCGAACCGACUUACGUUGAAAAGUGAGCGGAUGAACUGAGGGUAGCGGAGAAAUUCCAAUCGAACCUGGAGAUAGCUGGUUCUCUCCGAAAUAGCUUUAGGGCUAGCCUCAAGUGAUGAUUAUUGGAGGUAGAGCACUGUUUGGACGAGGGGCCCCUCUCGGGUUACCGAAUUCAGACAAACUCCGAAUGCCAAUUAAUUUAACUUGGGAGUCAGAACAUGGGUGAUAAGGUCCGUGUUCGAAAGGGAAACAGCCCAGACCACCAGCUAAGGUCCCAAAAUAUAUGUUAAGUGGAAAAGGAUGUGGCGUUGCCCAGACAACUAGGAUGUUGGCUUAGAAGCAGCCAUCAUUUAAAGAGUGCGUAAUAGCUCACUAGUCGAGUGACACUGCGCCGAAAAUGUACCGGGGCUAAACAUAUUACCGAAGCUGUGGAUUGUCCUUUGGACAAUGGUAGGAGAGCGUUCUAAGGGCGUUGAAGCAUGAUCGUAAGGACAUGUGGAGCGCUUAGAAGUGAGAAUGCCGGUGUGAGUAGCGAAAGACGGGUGAGAAUCCCGUCCACCGAUUGACUAAGGUUUCCAGAGGAAGGCUCGUCCGCUCUGGGUUAGUCGGGUCCUAAGCUGAGGCCGACAGGCGUAGGCGAUGGAUAACAGGUUGAUAUUCCUGUACCACCUAUAAUCGUUUUAAUCGAUGGGGGGGACGCAGUAGGAUAGGCGAAGCGUGCGAUUGGAUUGCACGUCUAAGCAGUAAGGCUGAGUAUUAGGCAAAUCCGGUACUCAUUAAGGCUGAGCUGUGAUGGGGAGAAGACAUUGUGUCUUCGAGUCGUUGAUUUCACACUGCCGAGAAAAGCCUCUAGAUAGAAAAUAGGUGCCCGUACCGCAAACCGACACAGGUAGUCAAGAUGAGAAUUCUAAGGUGAGCGAGCGAACUCUCGUUAAGGAACUCGGCAAAAUGACCCCGUAACUUCGGGAGAAGGGGUGCUCUUUAGGGUUAACGCCCAGAAGAGCCGCAGUGAAUAGGCCCAAGCGACUGUUUAUCAAAAACACAGGUCUCUGCUAAACCGUAAGGUGAUGUAUAGGGGCUGACGCCUGCCCGGUGCUGGAAGGUUAAGAGGAGUGGUUAGCUUCUGCGAAGCUACGAAUCGAAGCCCCAGUAAACGGCGGCCGUAACUAUAACGGUCCUAAGGUAGCGAAAUUCCUUGUCGGGUAAGUUCCGACCCGCACGAAAGGCGUAACGAU
This 1341-nucleotide ribosomal RNA is filed under the name Staphylococcus aureus R0487. Its description in RNAcentral is "bacterial LSU rRNA". It matches the Rfam family "Bacterial large subunit ribosomal RNA", at positions 668 to 2008 of the family's 2925-position model. The record is from RNAcentral. Lineage: Bacteria; Bacillati; Bacillota; Bacilli; Caryophanales; Staphylococcaceae.